This 377-nucleotide unclassified non-coding RNA is filed under the name uncultured Thermoleophilia bacterium. RNAcentral describes it as "contains 16S-23S intergenic spacer region". The record is from RNAcentral. Lineage: Bacteria; Bacillati; Actinomycetota; Thermoleophilia.
UCCGGUUUAACACCGGCAGUCUCGUUAGAGUGCCCGGCCGAACCGCUGGCAACUAACGACAAGGGUUGCGCUCGUUGCGGGACUUAACCCAACAUCUCACGACACGAGCUGACGACGGCCAUGCACCACCUGUGAUCCUGCCCCGAAGGGAAACCCUGUUUCCAGGGCGGUCAGGAACAUGUCAAGCCCAGGUAAGGUUCUUCGCGUCGCGUCGAAUUAAACCACAUGCUCCGCUGCUUGUGCGGGUCCCCGUCAAUUCCUUUGAGUUUUAGCCUUGCGGCCGUACUCCCCAGGCGGGGUGCUUAAUGCGUUAGCUUCGGCACGGACGGAGUCGACACCGCCCACACCUAGCACCCAUCGUUUACGGCGUGGACUAC